CGGGGCUAAUACCGGAUGCUUGAUUGAACCGCAUGGUUCAAUCAUAAAAGGCGGCUUCGGCUGCCGUUCUCUCAGGAACCGCGGCGCAUUAGCUAGUUGGUGAGGUAACGGCUCACCAAGGCGACGAUGCGUAGCCGACCUGAGAGGGUGAUCGGCCACACUGGGACUGAGACACGGCCCAGACUCCUACGGGAGGCAGCAGUAGGGAAUCUUCCGCAAUGGACGAAAGUCUGACGGAGCAACGCCGCGUGAGUGAUGAAGGUUUUCGGAUCGUAAAGCUCUGUUGUUAGGGAAGAACAAGUACCGUUCGAAUAGGGCGGUACCUUGACUGUUUUUAUCCAGAAAGCCACGGCUAACUACGUGCCACCAGCCGCGGUAAUGCGUAGGUGGCAAGCGUUGUC
Molecule: ribosomal RNA, 401 nt
Filed under: Bacillus sp. CSu2_32
Lineage: Bacteria; Bacillati; Bacillota; Bacilli; Caryophanales; Bacillaceae
Description: bacterial SSU rRNA
Rfam family: Bacterial small subunit ribosomal RNA
Source: RNAcentral